UCUACUUGAGUUGUAGCUGUGAUUAUAUACUUAUUCAAUAUUCAUUUUUUGUGAUUCAAUUGGUUUUUCAGUUAAUUAAAGUGAUAGAUGGAUUUGAAGUUUUAGGUUUUAUGAUGAUUUGAUGCUAGCUGUUUCUGAUUUGAAUGUAGUAGAUUAGAUCCGAAUUUUUACAUACCUAAACUUUAUUCGUCUCCUAUAGCAGGUGAAAUCAAGGAGGCAGUUGAGUAUCCUUUAACUCACCCUGAGUUAUAUGAAGACAUCGGUAUUAAACCUCCAAAGGGCGUUAUACUUUACGGAGAACCGGGAACAUGCAAGACAUUGCUUGCAAAGGCUAUGGCAAACUCCACAUCAGCAACGUUCUUACGUGUUGUUGGAAGUGAGUUGAUUCAAAAGUAUCUUGGGGAUGGUCCUAAGCUGGUCAGAGAACUCUUUAGGUCGUUUGAACGGUCUUAAAGAGACCCAAACAACAUUUGAGCCGUAAAGCAAACACCAUUCAGAGUUGUCUGCACGCAAAUGGUGUUUUUACUACUAACGAGCUUGUAAUUAUUGU
Helianthus annuus (common sunflower) is the source of this 550-nucleotide long non-coding RNA. RefSeq lists it as uncharacterized. The transcript is spliced from 3 exons. The record is from RefSeq and is a predicted model, not a curated record. NCBI's taxonomy places the organism in Eukaryota, Viridiplantae, Streptophyta, Magnoliopsida, Asterales, Asteraceae.